RNAcentral lists this ribosomal RNA (518 nucleotides) under uncultured bacterium. RNAcentral's name for it is "bacterial SSU rRNA". It matches the Rfam family "Bacterial small subunit ribosomal RNA", at positions 235 to 770 of the family's 1533-position model. The record is from RNAcentral.
GGCCGAUUAGCUAGUUGGUAGGGUAAAAGCCUACCAAGGCUCCGAUCGGUAGCCGGCCUGAGAGGGCACACGGCCACACUGGCACUGAAACACGGGCCAGACUCCUACGGGAGGCAGCAGUGGGGAAUCUUGCACAAUGGGGGCAACCCUGAUGCAGCGACGCCGCGUGAGCGAUGAAGCCCUUCGGGGUGUAAAGCUCUUUCGGCAGGGAAGAUUAUGACGGUACCUGCAGAAGCAGCUGCGGCUAACUACGUGCCAGCAGCCGCGGUAAUACGUAGGCAGCAAGCGUUGUUCGGAGUUACUGGGCGUAAAGGGUGUGUAGGCGGUUCUCUAAGUCUGGUGUGAAAUCUCCCGGCUCAACUGGGAGGGUGCGCCGAAAACUGGAGGGCUAGAGUGUGGGAUGGGAGAGUGGAAUUCCUGGUGUAGCGGUGAAAUGCGUAGAUAUCAGGAGGAACACCUGUGGUGUAGACGGCUCUCUGGACCGCAACUGACGCUGAGACACGAAAGCGUGGGUAGCA